UACGGGGGGGCAAGCGUUGUUCGGAAUUACUGGGCGUAAAGGGCUCGUAGGCGGCCAACUAAGUCAGACGUGAAAUCCCUCGGCUUAACCGGGGAACUGCGUCUGAUACUGGAUGGCUUGAGUUUGGGAGAGGGACGCGGAAUUCCAGGUGUAGCGGUGAAAUGCGUAGAUAUCUGGAGGAACACCGGUGGCGAAGGCGGCGUUCUGGACUGCAACUGACACUGAGGAACGAAAGCCAGGGGAGCAAACGGG
This 252-nucleotide ribosomal RNA is filed under the name uncultured bacterium. RNAcentral's name for it is "partial 16S ribosomal RNA". It matches the Rfam family "Bacterial small subunit ribosomal RNA", at positions 524 to 776 of the family's 1533-position model. The record is from RNAcentral.